Molecule: long non-coding RNA, 345 nt
Filed under: Canis lupus familiaris (dog)
Lineage: Eukaryota; Metazoa; Chordata; Mammalia; Carnivora; Canidae
Description: lncRNA (ENSCAFG00805023125.1, ENSCAFG00845015473.1)
Source: RNAcentral
CUGCAGCCAGGUGGAUCUGCGCUGGCAAACAAAACACUGCCAUGUGCCCGCAGGAACACUCACCUGAAGCCAUCCAUAGCCAUCUUCGCGUCAUCCCUGAGUUGGGACACGUCACCCCAAGUAUCAGCACCAGGCAAGAGGACCUAGAGACCCUGCUAGCCUUGGAAAGGGCUGAUAUCAUAGCCGAAUACCAUCAGCUGAGGCCCAGACAAGUACCAUAGAUGCUAGAGAACCCACUAGAGGUGGGGACCCCUCCUGCAAGGGCAGGUGAAUCCCAGGAAUGGAUCAGAGGCAAGCAUGACAGGUCAGUCCAUUGAAGAACCAUAGUCACCAGGAACAUAUGAG